This 552-nucleotide long non-coding RNA is filed under the name Pongo abelii (Sumatran orangutan). RNAcentral describes it as "lincRNA". The record is from RNAcentral. Lineage: Eukaryota; Metazoa; Chordata; Mammalia; Primates; Hominidae.
CUCAUUUUCUCUUGCUGCUACCAUGGAAGAAGCGACUUUCACCUCCCGCCAUGAUUCUGAGGCCUCUCCAGCCACGUGAAACUCAAAAUGUGACUGAAAGAAGCAUUUGGGAAAUGUAACAGAAGUCAUUAAAAAGAGGACUAGGAAAGGCCAUGUGAGGACACAGUGAGAAGGGAGCCAUCUGCAAACCAAAAGGGGAACUCCAACCAGACACUGACUUUGCUACCACCUUGAUAUUCGACUUCCAGCCUCCAUAACUGUGAGAAGUUGAUUCCUAAUAUUAAGCCACUCAGUCAACGAUAUUUUGUUACGGCUGCCAAAGCAGACUAAUACAGACUUUCCCUGGCAAACAAAAACAGUUUGUUUUCAGUAGAACUGCCUUGUAAGAAAUGUUGUACACAACGGUGUAUUAUGUGACUAUAGCUUAUGGAAUAAAAACAAUGUUGUAAGUAGUGAGAGGCAGGAAUUGAGAAUAUUCUCUCAUAAAGUCCCUGUCCUGCCUAGGAAGUAGUACAGUGUUAUUUGACAGUGGACAUAGAUUCGUUUUAAGUG